UGAAAUGUAGGGAAAUGGUGCACCCGACAGGAUUCGAACCUGUGGCCUCUGCCUUCGGAGGGCAGCGCUCUAUCCA
Molecule: transfer RNA, 76 nt
Filed under: Novosphingobium sp. TCA1
Lineage: Bacteria; Pseudomonadati; Pseudomonadota; Alphaproteobacteria; Sphingomonadales; Sphingomonadaceae
Description: tRNA-Arg
Source: RNAcentral